RNAcentral lists this transfer RNA (75 nucleotides) under Helicobacteraceae bacterium. RNAcentral's name for it is "tRNA-Asn". It matches the Rfam family "tRNA". Rfam says of the family: Transfer RNA (tRNA) molecules are approximately 80 nucleotides in length. Their secondary structure includes four short double-helical elements and three loops (D, anti-codon, and T loops). Further hydrogen bonds mediate the characteristic L-shaped molecular structure. tRNAs have two regions of fundamental functional importance: the anti-codon, which is responsible for specific mRNA codon recognition, and the 3' end, to which the tRNAs corresponding amino acid is attached (by aminoacyl-tRNA synthetases). tRNAs cope with the degeneracy of the genetic code in two manners: having more than one tRNA (with a specific anti-codon) for a particular amino acid; and 'wobble' base-pairing, i.e. permitting non-standard base-pairing at the 3rd anti-codon position. Lineage: Bacteria; Pseudomonadati; Campylobacterota; Epsilonproteobacteria; Campylobacterales; Helicobacteraceae. The record is from RNAcentral. RNAcentral also lists the same sequence under 1 other name.
UCCGGAUUAGCUCAGCGGUAGAGUAGGGCACUGUUAAUGCCUUGGUCAUUGGUUCGAAUCCAAUAUCCGGAGCCA